Molecule: non-coding RNA, 85 nt
Filed under: human gut metagenome
Description: TPP riboswitch (THI element)
Rfam family: TPP riboswitch aptamer (THI element)
About the family: Vitamin B(1) in its active form thiamin pyrophosphate (TPP) is an essential coenzyme that is synthesised by coupling of pyrimidine and thiazole moieties in bacteria. The previously detected thiamin-regulatory element, thi box was extended, resulting in a new, highly conserved RNA secondary structure, the THI element, which is widely distributed in eubacteria and also occurs in some archaea.
Source: RNAcentral
GCUAGGGGUGCGACGAAGCUGAGAAUGGCCGGCAAAGGCCAGAACCCUCAUUACUUGAACCGGGUAAUACCGGCGUAAGGAAGCA